Oncorhynchus tshawytscha (Chinook salmon) is the source of this 670-nucleotide long non-coding RNA. Lineage: Eukaryota; Metazoa; Chordata; Actinopteri; Salmoniformes; Salmonidae. The record is from Ensembl.
GACUAGGUUAUAAUGUAUAAUAGUGGGUUGUUAGUGAUAUGUAGAUGUUAUAUUAUGUAAAGUAGACUAGGUUAUAAUGUAUAAUAGUGGGUUGUUAGUGAUAUGUAGAUGUUAUAUUAUGUAAAGUAGACUAGGUUAUAAUGUAUAAUAGUGGGUUGUUAGUGAUGUGUAGAUGUUAUAUUAUGUAAAGUAGACUAGGUUAUAAUGUAUAGUAGUGGGUUGUUAGUGAUAUGUAGAUAUUAUAUUAUGUAAAGUAGACUAGGUUAUAAUGUAUAGUAGUGGGUUGUUAGUGAUAUGUAGAUGUUAUAUUAUGUAAAGUAGACUAGGUUAUAAUGUAUAGUAGUGGGUUGUUAGUGAUAUGUAGAUGUUAUAUUAUGUAAAGUAGACUAGGUUAUAAUGUAUAGUAGUGGGUUGUUAGUGAUAUGUAGAUGUUAUAUUAUGUAAAGUAGACUAGGUUAUAAUGUAUAGUAGUGGGUUGUUAGUGAUAUGUUAUAUUAUGUAAAGUAGACUAGGUUAUAAUGUAUAGUAGUGGGUUGUUGGUGAUAUAUAGAUGUUAUAUUAUGAAAAGAAUAUUAGGUUGUAAUGUAUAGUAGUGGGUUGUUAGUGAUAUGUUAUAUUAUGUAAAGUAGACUAGGUUAUAAUGUAUAGUAGUGGGUUGUUAGUGAUAUGU